AUGUGCCCUUCGGGGGAAAGAUUUAUCGCCUUUAGAGCGGCCCGCGUCUGAUUAGCUAGUUGGUGAGGUAAAGGCUCACCAAGGCGACGAUCAGUAGCUGGUCUGAGAGGAUGAUCAGCCACAUUGGGACUGAGACACGGCCCAAACUCCUACGGGAGGCAGCAGUGGGGAAUCUUGCGCAAUGGGCGAAAGCCUGACGCAGCCAUGCCGCGUGAAUGAUGAAGGUCUUAGGAUUGUAAAAUUCUUUCACCGGGGACGAUAAUGACGGUACCCGGAGAAGAAGCCCCGGCUAACUUCGUGCCAGCAGCCGCGGUAAUACGAAGGGGGCUAGCGUUGCUCGGAAUUACUGGGCGUAAAGGGAGCGUAGGCGGACAUUUAAGUCAGGGGUGAAAUCCCGGGGCUCAACCUCGGAAUUGCCUUUGAUACUGGGUGUCUUGAGUAUGAGAGAGGUGUGUGGAACUCCGAGUGUAGAGGUGAAAUUCGUAGAUAUUCGGAAGAACACCAGUGGCGAAGGCGACACACUGGCUCAUUACUGACGCUGAGGCUCGAGAGCGUGGGGAGCAAACAGGAUUAGAUACCCUGGUAGUCCACGCCGUAAACGAUGAUUGCUAGUUGUCGGGAUGCAUGCAUUUCGGUGACGCAGCUAACGCAUUAAGCAAUCCGCCUGGGGAGUACGGUCGCAAGAUUAAAACUCAAAG
RNAcentral lists this ribosomal RNA (698 nucleotides) under Brevundimonas vesicularis. RNAcentral describes it as "bacterial SSU rRNA". It matches the Rfam family "Bacterial small subunit ribosomal RNA", at positions 173 to 906 of the family's 1533-position model. The record is from RNAcentral. Lineage: Bacteria; Pseudomonadati; Pseudomonadota; Alphaproteobacteria; Caulobacterales; Caulobacteraceae.